Daphnia magna is the source of this 3004-nucleotide long non-coding RNA. RefSeq lists it as uncharacterized. The record is from RefSeq and is a predicted model, not a curated record. The transcript has 2 exons. NCBI's taxonomy places the organism in Eukaryota, Metazoa, Arthropoda, Branchiopoda, Diplostraca, Daphniidae.
GCAUGAAAAGUCUACCACAUGUUUCAUUUUCCGCGGCUUUCGAGUGUUUUUGGUUGGGUUAAAAAAUUAUUUUGUCUAAACAAAGCCCUAGAAUGCUUGGCAUUUUUUAAAGCAGUGUGUCCAACCCUUUUUUCAAUGUAAUUUUUCGUUUAAUUUCAAUGUGUUCAUGUAACAUGUCAAGAUGUCCAUGUUACGGCUGGCAAUGGUUGACGUGGCGAUUGAUUGGGUAAGGUCUAGUUGUUGUCUAAUUUUCAGCCGUACAAGAUUCAAUUUUGCGCGCAAAUCGUUAUGUAAUUAAAAUAAUUUUCUAAACCCAAUAAUUUCAAUAUUAGGAUUUUCUUCUCUUUCACAGCUGAGCUCGAGAUUAUUUCAUUCAAACCAGCCGUUUUGACGCAAUCGCUUCGCAAGUUGAGUAGAUAGUUAACGAUCAUACUAUUCCCAUAUAGAGAAUAGCUGCGAAUAGGGGCGGGGCAUCCAGGUAUUUAAUGUCGUUCCACAUAAACCAGCCCGUUCGGUGAGGAUCACAAUGGAAAUUAUCUAAUGACAAGGCUGAACCGUCAGUGUCGAAUGGCUAACAAUAGAGGUGUCUCACCGAGUUCCUUCCGUGACUCGGCUAAUAAAGCCCCCAUUUCCGAUCCGCUCCUGUCCAGAAGUUUACGCAGUUCAGUUACCGAGCCGCUACUGAUGGCAGCAAAGAAAUCGGAUUGUAGUUUUAAAGACGGCUUAAGACACGGGGUCGGUCCUGGUUCUAACAACGGUAGAGGCGUGGCCGAUGUGGUAAUAAUCCAGACGUCUCAGCUAUCAAGGCUGUUGACACUGGCGACUGGGGUGUGCAAGUGGAUCUUAAACUACGAGGGUAUUUUGCCUAAUCCUUCGUAGAACUCUUUCCCAACGUCCAUUAGGAAAACGGAACCAAAUCCAUCGCCAUACUCGACGUGGAGGAACAGAAUCUUCUGUUGGUGAAUCCAUUAUGAAUGCCGGUAAAAUCGAUGAUGAUUACGGUGAGUCUAUCACGAUGCCUUACAUUCCAUUACUAUUUCCGUGUGUGGAAAGGAUUGUCAUUUUCGCGAUUGGGAUUAUUGUGUCUAUUCUACCUACACCACAGAGUAAAGCCAUUACAAACAUCCUAGUUUCCCCUGCCACCGUGAUUGUGUUCCACCGUCGUUUCUUUAUAUUUUGUUACCAAAAGUCGAACUCGGAUGACCCAGCAUUUAAGGGUUUGAUGUUUAAGAAUCUGAAGAAAAUUUUACGCAAGGAAAUGAAAUGUGAUGGUGGAAUGUAACUUACAUUGUGUAAGGCUUCUUCAUGCGAAGGGAACCUUCAGCACCUUUACUCCCCAUCCUCUUCAUCUUCAUUGUGAUCACUGUUAAAGUUAUGUCUGUCAAUAAGAUUGUAGUGCACAACCCAAACGAAUCCGAUUCCAGCGUCAUUACGUCCCCGACUCACCAUCAAUGAGCCCACUCAGUUUUGGCAAAUAUUGUAAGAAUCGCUCGAUUUCUUUUCAAUCGGCGAGUUUUUGCUGGCUCAAUCGGCGCUCUGCGGAAACAAGCCUUCACGGAAAAGAUGGUUGUAUUUGACAGAGUACAAAUGAUCACUGCGGUCCUAAAAUGCUUGUUUGAGAUUUGGUAGUUAUUACCUCUCCAUUUCAAUCAAAAGUUAAUGCCAACUUUUUAACAAUUGGAUUAUUGCCCUUGACCUGAUUCUUCAUGAGGAGCUGAUUCCGUUUCGCCGGACAUCUCUGGAAGCCUCUACAACAACGAAUACAUAUGAGAAAGUAAACGAGUGCCGUGCAUUUCACGCACACGCGACUGGGUGGAACUAACUCGACAAAUGUUGAAGCCAUGGGUAGUUCCACCGAUUCCGGUGACAUAUCCAAUUCUUUAUCAACGGAGCGUUGGUAAAGAAUUUUGGUACUAUCAAUUUAGUAAGUUAAAAUAAGCACAGCAGAUUAUGUCCAUUCCUAAAAAAAAUCACCAUAAAUUAAAUAAUAAUUCUCGCUUUUUAAAACAAAAGUAAAAAAAUGGGGCAGUAACAAACAAAUUUAAAGUUUGGCAGCGGAUGACCCAGCUGUAAGAUCCAGCCUGUGUGAACUUGACCCACUUUUCAAUGGUCUUGCAUGUAGCAUCAGCACGGUUAGCUAUAGCCAACCCCCACGUCGCGAUUUUAGCAAGCGGCCGCGGAAACAUCCCGCGGAACCGAAGUACCCAACAUACGCCUUAAUAUAUUAUAUUGUUUAUGACGCACAUCGUGCACAUUCGUCUUACAUACGUAAACAUAUGUACACUUUAUCCACAAGACUGAUCACCGUUACCACUAUAAUUAACUACAGCCAAGUCUUUUAUACAGUAAAAAUCCAGCGCGUAAACUUUGUCUGUAAACGGACGGAAUGCUCGGCACGGUAGAAAUCAAAUUUCUUGUGUUUUGAAAACAAAAUCGAAAAAAUGAAAAAUGAACUUUGUUAACAUUUUUUUAGCUUUGGGAAAAAUGCAACAUCAUUUCGCUGCUCUGCGCAAGAAGGUAAGAAAAUACCAUUAAUAAGUCGUAAAAUUGAGUGAAUUCAUCGUUCUCGGAUUCAAACUUUAAAUUUUGAAUGUUCCGCAAAAAUUUCCCAUGUUAUACCUUUUCCAGGUUUUUUGCAGAAAUUGCUAUUCCGUAUUCUGUAUGUGGAAAUUGACCCGGAAGUAAGACCCUUCCCGAUUGAAUGAUAGUUCACUGUCUGUUAUCGACCAUUUUUCGGUUGGGGUCCCUGAUUAUAGCAAAUAAAGGUUAAGGCGCUUACCCUAAUUUCAUGCUUCCAAUUUUCAAAUCCGUUUAUUGACGCGAAGAAGUUUGCUUUUGUGAGCACGGGGUUGGUUUUGCCUAUGGUUUUGCCUAGCUCGGAGAAGACGCUUCAAUUCUAAGACCAACUUACAAUAUCGACGAUGAAACGGAGCUGAUGGAGCCCCGGAUCGUUGCUGAACCCCAAGAUGGAAGCAAAUGGUGGUACACUCCAUCGAGGAAGGCC